CAAGAGUACUCCCUUCGUCCUAAAAAAACAAACGUUUGAGUUUCCGUCUUAUAUGAAAUUUUUUUAUAAUUAAUAUUUUCAGUGUUAUUAGAUGAUAAAAUAUGAUUAAUACUUUAUGCGUGACUUAUUUUUUUAAUUUUUUUAUAAUUUUUUUAAAUAAGACAGACGGUGAAACGUUGAACACGAAAAUC
Molecule: microRNA precursor, 191 nt
Filed under: Oryza rufipogon (brownbeard rice)
Lineage: Eukaryota; Viridiplantae; Streptophyta; Magnoliopsida; Poales; Poaceae
Description: MIR812 microRNA precursor family
Rfam family: MIR812 microRNA precursor family
Source: Rfam by way of RNAcentral